UACCCAUGUGUGUUCGCUUGUUUUGUACUGUUCUGGAGUUUUGACCCAAUGAUUCAUCUGACAAACAAAGAACUUUGCGUCCUGCAGGGCCAGGCAUGGAUCAAAACUGGUGAGACAUUCAAUAAUGUCAUCUUCACAGACGAAUCAACCGUGGCCCUUGAGCAAUUUGCUCAAAAUUGCUACAGAAACAAAGGAAGAAGAUCAAGCAAGCUGAGUCCCAAGCAUCCACUCAAACUCCAUGUGUGGGGGGCCAUGUCUCGCCAGGGACCUGGCCCAUAUUUGAUUUUUGAUGGUAUCAUGGCUCGAGAAUUCUUUGAGGAAGAAAUCAUCAAGAGAUAUGCUGGACCCUAUGUCAGAAAGGUGUUUCUGGGUACACAUKAUUUCUUUCAAGACAAUGACCCAAAACACUGCCGCCCGGGUU
This is a long non-coding RNA of Salvelinus sp. IW2-2015, 421 nucleotides long. RefSeq lists it as uncharacterized. The record is from RefSeq and is a predicted model, not a curated record. Lineage: Eukaryota; Metazoa; Chordata; Actinopteri; Salmoniformes; Salmonidae.